This 425-nucleotide ribosomal RNA is filed under the name uncultured bacterium. RNAcentral's name for it is "partial 16S ribosomal RNA". It matches the Rfam family "Bacterial small subunit ribosomal RNA", at positions 354 to 796 of the family's 1533-position model. The record is from RNAcentral.
GUGGGGAAUCUUAGACAAUGGGGGAAACCCUGAUCUAGCCAUGCCGCGUGAGCGAUGAAGGCCUUAGGGUUGUAAAGCUCUUUCAGCUGGGAAGAUAAUGACGGUACCAGCAGAAGAAGCCCCGGCUAACUCCGUGCCAGCAGCCGCGGUAAUACGGAGGGGGCUAGCGUUGUUCGGAAUUACUGGGCGUAAAGCGCACGUAGGCGGAUCAGAAAGUCAGAGGUGAAAUCCCAGGGCUCAACCUUGGAACUGCCUUUGAAACUCGUGGUCUUGAGGUCGAGAGAGGUGAGUGGAAUUCCGAGUGUAGAGGUGAAAUUCGUAGAUAUUCGGAGGAACACCAGUGGCGAAGGCGGCUCACUGGCUCGAUACUGACGCUGAGGUGCGAAAGCGUGGGGAGCAAACAGGAUUAGAAACCCGAGUAGUCC